GCAGCUCGUGCCCGGGCAAGACUGAAGACGAGACCAACCGCGCAGGUAGGCUCGGAAGGGCGACGCAAACCCCCCAACUCGCGCCCACCUUCCACCCCAGAUCUCGCGGCCGCCGCCGCCGCCGACGAGAUGCUCCUCCUCCGCGGCCUCCUCCUCGCCGCUCUCCUCGCUGUCGCGCGGCAGCCCCUGGCGUCCGCCUCCGAGUCCGACCACAAGUACAAAAUUUCAGAACCAGUCAAGCUCUGGGUAAACAAGGUUGGCCCGUACAAUAAUCCUCAGGAAACAUACAACUAUUACAGCCUUCCGUUUUGUCAACCAGCUGAAAACCCUGCACACAAAUGGGGUGGACUCGGAGAAGUUCUCGGUGGAAAUGAGCUGAUUGAUAGUCAGAUUGAUAUACAGUUUUUGAAAAAUGUGGACAAGGGCCCCAUUUGCACAAUUGAACUUGAUGCUAAAAAGGUUCAGCAAUUUACUGAUGCCAUUGAAAGCUCAUACUGGUUUGAGCUUUUCAUAGAUGAUCUGCCAUUGUGGGGUUUUGUUGGGGAGACUGACAAAAACAAUGAAAACAAGCACUAUCUUUACACACACAAGAAUAUUGUUGUUAAAUACAACGGUAACAGGGUAAUUCAUGUCAAUCUCACUCAAGAGUCACCUAAGCUUCUUGAAGCUGGAAGAAAAUUGGACAUGACAUAUUCAGUGAAGUGGGUGCAAACAAAUGUGGCAUUUGCACGGCGUUUUGAAGUUUACUUGGACUACCCGUUCUUCGAACACCAGAUUCAUUGGUUUUCCAUCUUCAAUUCUUUCAUGAUGGUCAUUUUCUUAACUGGUUUAGUAUCAAUGAUAUUGAUGAGAACCCUGAGAAAUGAUUAUGCAAAAUAUGCUCGUGAAGAUGAUGAUCUUGAGUCACUUGAAAGGGAUGUUAGUGAGGAAUCUGGAUGGAAGCUUGUUCAUGGAGAUGUAUUUCGACCUCCACGCAACCUAAUGUUUCUGUCUGCUGUUGUUGGCAUUGGCACUCAGAUGGCAGCUCUUAUCCUGCUUGUUAUUGUACUUGCCAUUGUUGGUAUGCUUUAUGUUGGACGAGGAGCUAUUAUCACAACCUUUAUCGUGUGCUACGCGCUUACAUCUUUCAUUUCUGGAUAUGUUAGUGGCGGCCUCUACUCAAGGAACGGCGGCAAAAACUGGAUAAAGUCUAUGGUCCUUACCGCGUCCCUUUUUCCAUUCUUGUGCUUUUCAAUUGGAUUAGUGUUGAACACCAUUGCUAUCUUCUACCAUUCAUUAGCGGCUAUACCAUUUGGUACAAUGGUUGUCAUAUUUGUCCUCUGGGCUUUUAUCUCUUUCCCACUGGUGCUAUUGGGAACAGUAGUUGGUCGAAACUGGAGUGGUGCUCCCAAUAACCCAUGCCGUGUGAAGACAAUCCCACGUCCUAUUCCUGAGAAGAAGUGGUACCUAACACCUUCUGUUAUCUCAUUGAUGGGUGGGCUUCUUCCCUUCGGCAGCAUUUUCAUCGAGAUGUACUUCGUAUUCACUUCAUUCUGGAACUACAAGGUGUACUAUGUUUAUGGCUUCAUGUUGCUAGUCUUUGUCAUCCUCCUAAUCGUAACAGUAUGUGUCACUAUUGUGGGCACUUAUUUCUUGUUGAAUGCUGAGAACUAUCAUUGGCAAUGGACAUCGUUCUUCUCGGCUGCAUCAACCGCCUUGUAUGUAUAUCUAUACGCUAUAUACUAUUAUCAUGUGAAGACAAAGAUGUCAGGCUUUUUCCAGACUAGCUUCUACUUCGGCUACACGUUGAUGUUCUGUCUGGGGCUAGGCAUACUUUGUGGUGCUAUCGGCUAUCUGGGGUCAACUUUGUUUGUCAGGAGAAUCUACAGAAACAUCAAAUGCGACUAAACUGCUUCUCCGAUUCUGUAGGCUAUUAGCACUUAGCAGAUCAUGUGUUGUUGAGUAACGCUUCUAAGAUUCUAAUUAACUUUUGGAAACUAUACAGGAGGUGGUUCUCCCUUCGUUUACCUUAAUAUACUUUUAUUUUUGGUCUAUAUCUACCCCGUCAUCAAAACUGGCCCCAUAAAUGUAUACCUAUAUUAGUUCAGGAAUUAGUCUCAGUACUGGGAUUUACAUCUACCUUUAUCUUUUUAGGGCG
RNAcentral lists this ribosomal RNA (2137 nucleotides) under Triticum aestivum (bread wheat). Its description in RNAcentral is "partial small subunit ribosomal RNA". Lineage: Eukaryota; Viridiplantae; Streptophyta; Magnoliopsida; Poales; Poaceae. The record is from RNAcentral.